UAAAUCAUAGUUUAAAUAAAAUACCUAACUUGCACUUAGGAGUUGUAAGUCUGAUUUAG
This 59-nucleotide transfer RNA is filed under the name Gyge ovalis. RNAcentral's name for it is "tRNA-Ala". The record is from RNAcentral. Lineage: Eukaryota; Metazoa; Arthropoda; Malacostraca; Isopoda; Bopyridae.